Molecule: ribosomal RNA, 463 nt
Filed under: uncultured bacterium
Lineage: Bacteria
Description: partial 16S ribosomal RNA
Rfam family: Bacterial small subunit ribosomal RNA
Source: RNAcentral
GACGAACGCUGGCGGCGUGCUUAACACAUGCAAGUCGAACGGAAAGGCCUUUUCGGAGGUACUCGAGUGGCGAACGGGUGCGUAACACGUGGGUGAUCUGCCCUGCACUCUGGGAUAAGCCUGGGAAACUGGGUCUAAUACCGGAUAGGACCGCACUUUAGUGUGUGUGGUGGAAAGUUUUUUCGGUGUAGGAUGAGCCCGCGGCCUAUCAGCUUGUUGGUGGGGUAAUGGCCUACCAAGGCGGCGACGGGUAGCCGGACUGAGAGGUUGGUCGGCCACAUUGGGACUGAGAUACGGCCCAGACUCCUACGGGAGGCAGCAGUGGGGAAGAUUGCACAAUGGGCGCAAGCCUGAUGCAGCGACGCCGCGUGGGGGAUGACGGCCUUCGGGUUGUAAACUCCUUUCGCCAGGGACGAAGCGUUUUGUGACGGUACCUGGAGAAGAAGCACCGGCUAACUACGUG